This 501-nucleotide ribosomal RNA is filed under the name Saccharomyces cerevisiae (brewer's yeast). RNAcentral describes it as "partial 26S ribosomal RNA". It matches the Rfam family "Eukaryotic large subunit ribosomal RNA", at positions 96 to 600 of the family's 3401-position model. The record is from RNAcentral. Lineage: Eukaryota; Fungi; Ascomycota; Saccharomycetes; Saccharomycetales; Saccharomycetaceae.
GAGCGGCAAAAGCUCAAAUUUGAAAUCUGGUACCUUCGGUGCCCGAGUUGUAAUUUGGAGAGGGCAACUUUGGGGCCGUUCCUUGUCUAUGUUCCUUGGAACAGGACGUCAUAGAGGGUGAGAAUCCCGUGUGGCGAGGAGUGCGGUUCUUUGUAAAGUGCCUUCGAAGAGUCGAGUUGUUUGGGAAUGCAGCUCUAAGUGGGUGGUAAAUUCCAUCUAAAGCUAAAUAUUGGCGAGAGACCGAUAGCGAACAAGUACAGUGAUGGAAAGAUGAAAAGAACUUUGAAAAGAGAGUGAAAAAGUACGUGAAAUUGUUGAAAGGGAAGGGCAUUUGAUCAGACAUGGUGUUUUGUGCCCUCUGCUCCUUGUGGGUAGGGGAAUCUCGCAUUUCACUGGGCCAGCAUCAGUUUUGGUGGCAGGAUAAAUCCAUAGGAAUGUAGCUUGCCUCGGUAAGUAUUAUAGCCUGUGGGAAUACUGCCAGCUGGGACUGAGGACUGCGAC